UCCCCUUUGUAGGCGGGAAAUAUCGCACGCAGCUCCUCUACCGAAGAUGGCGGCGGCGGGCUGGGCAGUGUCCGGCUCGGGCCGCUGGCCUGCGUUGGCCCGCUGCUGCUGGCGGGCAGAGAUGGUUGCUUACUUCUCUGCACCAGCUGCGAGCAACAGGGAAGCCCAGCAGAGGGAAGACUCAACAAGGAGAAGAAGCAGGACAUCACAGUUCAUAAGAUCGUGAACUUCAGCUUGGGCACUUCACUUCCUGCAGUGAACUCCUGCUUGGGCACUUCAGGCAAUUGAGUUUGAUUUUUGAACUCUUUCCUUCCCCACUUCUUCCCCAACUUGCCAAGGCUUCUUUUGAAAUAUUUCUGAAAUAAUGGAUUUUUAUUACUUAGGCUGGGAAGGGCAUGCAUCCUAACUUUUGAUCACUUCUCUUUUAAAAAUUCCUUGGGAAGUGAGCACUA
Non-coding RNA from Meleagris gallopavo (turkey), 452 nucleotides. Lineage: Eukaryota; Metazoa; Chordata; Aves; Galliformes; Phasianidae. The record is from RefSeq and is a predicted model, not a curated record.